RNAcentral lists this ribosomal RNA (347 nucleotides) under uncultured eukaryote. RNAcentral's name for it is "SSU rRNA". It matches the Rfam family "Eukaryotic small subunit ribosomal RNA", at positions 594 to 945 of the family's 1831-position model. The record is from RNAcentral.
AUAGCGUAUAUUAAAGUUGUUGCAGUUAAAAAGCUCGUAGUUGAACUUCAGACCUGGCUGGGCGGUCCGCCUCACGGCGAGUACUGUCUGGCUGGGCCUUACCUCUUGGUGAACCGGCGUGCCCUUUAUUGGUGUGCGUCGGGGAACCAGGACUUUUACCUUGAGAAAAUUAGAGUGUUCAAAGCAGGCCUAUGCCCGAAUACAUUAGCAUGGAAUAAUAGAAUAGGACGUGUGGUUCUAUUUUGUUGGUUUCUAGAACUGCCGUAAUGAUUAAUAGGGAUAGUUGGGGGCAUUGGUAUUGAGUCGCUAGAGGUGAAAUUCUUGGAUUGACUCAAGACCAACUAUUG